Mastomys coucha (southern multimammate mouse) is the source of this 324-nucleotide long non-coding RNA. RefSeq lists it as uncharacterized. The transcript has 2 exons. Lineage: Eukaryota; Metazoa; Chordata; Mammalia; Rodentia; Muridae. The record is from RefSeq and is a predicted model, not a curated record.
GUUCCAAGUAUAAAUUCCCUCCUGAAUUGAAGGCCUGAAAUCUCAUCAGAAAAUGGGUGGCUACUCUAACAGCCAUGCCACUAUUGCACUAGUGGUGACAUCUUGCCUGGGACAGCACUGCUUAGCAGAGGGAACGUGGACUCUGAAGUCAUAGGACUGACUUCCACCCUAACCAUUCUACCUGGGAAUUCUGCAGUCCUGAUAACAAAGUGCAGCGUGUCUUCUUACAUGUUUCUUUUCAUGCUCUCUUUAACGAGUGAGAGAGAUACCUAUGCAUACACAUGCAUGUGUAUAUCUGGAAAACAUUUCUUUACUAUCUAAUUA